This 1407-nucleotide long non-coding RNA is filed under the name Linum usitatissimum (flax). RNAcentral describes it as "long non-coding RNA (LUSI_LNC004831)". Lineage: Eukaryota; Viridiplantae; Streptophyta; Magnoliopsida; Malpighiales; Linaceae. The record is from RNAcentral.
CUUACACGACUUGCGAGCUACCCGCUUGCAAAGUUAGUUUCGAAAAAGAACGACUAGCAAGCGAGUCCAGGAGAAAGCUGGGUCGACACCAACUACUUGGAGCAAGAUGGCAUCUUUACCACCUCUGGAAUAACAGCUGAUCGUGGGGGAGUGUCACCUUUCAGUUUCACUAUAUAAUAUCACACCUGUGUGUUGGUGGGUGGGUGAUCACACAGCCUCCCUUGCAAUUAAUCUCUCACACACAAAGUGGGUAUAUGAAUAUCAAUCAGAUAAGCUCUGUAGCAGUACCCAAUAUACUACUACUAUUACUACAUCUAGAUUCUCUAUUUCACAUUUCCAUAUCAACUUUACUCCUAAAAGUGCAGGAGGCUGCUACCCAUCAUUGCCCCUGUGAAAUGCCAUAUGCUUCAAACAUUCUCCUCCACUUUGUGUUCAUUGGUUCAGAAAUGAUUGUCCCAUAACUACAGAGAUAUUUUCAAAGCAAGAAGAUGAGAUAACCAUCAGAUAUGUAUGCUCAUUCAUAAGAUGGUUGUGCCAAUGAGAUAAUUAUAAGAACAGGAAUUAAACAAGUUGCAAAUAUAUAAAUUCUUCAUUACCAAAACAGCCAAUGAAAUGUGUUAUUCAAAGUCUUGAACAUUUAUUAACCAGUGCAAUGAUGCUUCUCUGUUACUGAAGCUUUACUAUGCCGAUAACAGUUGUUCUACUGUCUACUGAUAGUUCUAGAUGGAAGGAGUGAACAGAUGCAACACAUACAUUGAUUGACAAUUUGACAGCAAGAUGCUAUUAAUUUGGACCAGCUACGAGGGAGAUUCCUGUAUCCACUGGUAAAAGGGUAUGUUUGCUUGACCCUUAAACAACACAAAGGAAACAGAUACCAAUUUAAGGAGGCAUUUUUUUUCAUUGGUAAAGGAAACAAGCUAGUCAAAGGAAUGCCCUGUAAAUAGGUUGCAAAGUUUGUACAUAUAUAACAAUCAUCAUGAACAAUGCAAAGAUCAUGGACCCAGUAACAGAAAGCUAACAUUAACACAGAAAACAAAGUCAAGAGUUGAAGGGAAUGAACAACCAGUUGAAAAACCUUUCUAGAUCUGCAUAAAGACUGCACCUUUCCUUUUCCCUCAUAGUCCAGCCUCUACCUCAGUAGCGUAUUCAUCGGAUUCAUAGGGAAGAUCUAUCUUCCUCUUCCUGAUUUUGAAAGUGCUGUGUCGGAUCACGUCAUCGUCGGUAUUCAUCGUUGUUUCGAGGGCGUUCAAGGAUUCUGGUUUUGUGAAGUAAGUGAAGAGGAGGUAGAUCCCAUCCAUAUAGGUGUUGGUUUCACCAGCUUUGUUCUUCUUCUUGAUGCUGUAGGAUAGUGGAAGCACUCCUCUGUUGAAUGCCUCCACAUACAUCCCACCCCCAGCUACAAGCAAC